RNAcentral lists this ribosomal RNA (293 nucleotides) under uncultured eukaryote. Its description in RNAcentral is "partial 18S ribosomal RNA". It matches the Rfam family "Eukaryotic small subunit ribosomal RNA", at positions 6 to 298 of the family's 1831-position model. The record is from RNAcentral.
GGUUGAUCCUGCCAGUAGUCAUAUGCUUGUCUCAAAGAUUAAGCCAUGCAUGUCUAAGUAUAAACAUCUUUAUACAGUGAAACUGCGUACAGCUCAUUAUAUCAGUAAUUAUUUAUUUGAUGGUACCUUACUACAUGGAUAACCGUAGUAAUUCUAGAGCUAAUACAUGCGUAAAAUCUCGACUGCAAGGAAGAGAUGUAUUUAUUAGAUAAAAAAUCAAUGCCAGUGAUGGCUUUAUUGGUGACUCAUAGUAACUGAUCGAAUCGCAUGACUUUAUGUUGGCGAUAGUUCAU